AUCAACGCUGGCGGCGUGCCUAACACAUGCAAGUCGAACGAGAAAGCUGGUAGCAAUACCGGUGAGUACAGUGGCGACCGGGUGAGUAACACGUGGACAACCUGCCACCGAGUGGGGAAUAACCCUGGGAAACCGGGGCUAAUACCGCAUAACACCCACGGGCUGCGGCCUGAGGGUUGAAACCCGCAAGGGGCUUGGUGAGGGGUCCGCGGCCGAUUAGCUAGUUGGUGAGGUAACGGCCCACCAAGGCCAUGAUCGGUAGCCGGCCUGAGAGGGCGGACGGCCACACUGGAACUGCAACACGGUCCAGACUCCUACGGGAGGCAGCAGUGGGGAAUUUUGCGCAAUGGGGGAAACCCUGACGCAGCAACGCCGCGUGGACGAUGAAGCUCUUUGGAGUGUAAAGUCCUUUCGGCAGGGACGAAGCGGGAGCAAUCCCGUUGACGGUACCUGAAGAAGAAGCCCCGGCUAACUUCGU
RNAcentral lists this ribosomal RNA (478 nucleotides) under uncultured bacterium. RNAcentral's name for it is "partial 16S ribosomal RNA". It matches the Rfam family "Bacterial small subunit ribosomal RNA", at positions 29 to 506 of the family's 1533-position model. The record is from RNAcentral.